AUUGAACGCUGGCGGAAUGCUUUACACAUGCAAGUCGAACGGCAGCACGGACUUCGGUCUGGUGGCGAGUGGCGAACGGGUGAGUAAUGUAUCGGAACGUGCCCAGUCGUGGGGGAUAACGUAGUGAAAAUUACGCUAAUACCGCAUACGAUCUAUGGAUGAAAGCGGGGGAUCGCAAGACCUCGCGCGAUUGGAGCGGCCGAUAUCAGAUUAGGUAGUUGGUGGGGUAAAAGCCCACCAAGCCAACGAUCUGUAGCUGGUCUGAGAGGACGACCAGCCACACUGGAACUGAGACACGGUCCAGACUCCUACGGGAGGCAGCAGUGGGGAAUUUUGGACAAUGGGCGAAAGCCUGAUCCAGCCAUUCCGCGUGCAGGAUGAAGGCCCCCGGGUUGUAAACUGCUUUUGUACAGAACGAAAAGGUUUCUACUAAUACUAGGAGCUCAUGACGGUACUGUAAGAAUAAGCACCGGCUAACUACGUGCCAGCAGCCGCAGUAA
Molecule: ribosomal RNA, 500 nt
Filed under: uncultured bacterium
Lineage: Bacteria
Description: partial 16S ribosomal RNA
Rfam family: Bacterial small subunit ribosomal RNA
Source: RNAcentral